UCCCAAAGAAUUAAGGUACAGAAUAGGUUCAUUAUGAAAUGAUCAUUUGUUUUAUAAAAGGAUUCACAACAAGCUUCCAGAAGUUAGCUUCUCUAGUAUAUUUCAAACAUUCAACUUGCCACAAUUUACUUGUAUUUCAGUUUAAAAG
Non-coding RNA from Vicugna pacos (alpaca), 148 nucleotides. The record is from RefSeq and is a predicted model, not a curated record. Lineage: Eukaryota; Metazoa; Chordata; Mammalia; Artiodactyla; Camelidae.